RNAcentral lists this ribosomal RNA (429 nucleotides) under Bacteroidota bacterium. RNAcentral's name for it is "Bacteroidetes bacterium partial 16S ribosomal RNA". It matches the Rfam family "Bacterial small subunit ribosomal RNA", at positions 355 to 776 of the family's 1533-position model. Lineage: Bacteria; Pseudomonadati; Bacteroidota. The record is from RNAcentral.
UAGGGAAUCUUCCGCAAUGGACGCAAGUCUGACGGAGCAACGCCGCGUGAGUGAAGAAGGAUUUCGGUUCGUAAAACUCUGUUGUUAGAGAAGAACAGCGCAUAGAGUAACUGUUAUGCGUGUGACGGUAUCUAACCAGAAAGCCACGGCUAACUACGUGCCAGCAGCCGCGGUAAUACGUAGGUGGCAAGCGUUGUCCGGAUUUAUUGGGCGUAAAGCGAGCGCAGGCGGUCAAUUAAGUCUGAUGUGAAAGCCCCCGGCUCAACCGGGGAUGGUCAUUGGCAACUGGUUGACUUGAGUGCAGAAGAGGAGAGUGGAAUUCCAUGUGUAGCGGUGAAAUGCGUAGAUAUAUGAAGGAACACCAGUGUCGAAGGCGACUCUCUGGUCUGUAACUGACGCUGAGGCUCGAAAGCGUGGGUAGCAAACAGG